This 577-nucleotide ribosomal RNA is filed under the name uncultured bacterium. RNAcentral describes it as "bacterial SSU rRNA". It matches the Rfam family "Bacterial small subunit ribosomal RNA", at positions 91 to 653 of the family's 1533-position model. The record is from RNAcentral.
GCGAGCGGCGGAUGGGUGAGUAACACGCUGGGGAACCUGCCCCUAAGUCUGGGAUACCAUUUGGAAACAGGUGCUAAUACCGGAUAAUAAAGCAGAUCGCAUGAUCAGCUUUUGAAAGGCGGCGUAAGCUGUCGCUAAGGGAUGGCCCCGCGGUGCAUUAGCUAGUUGGUAAGGUAACGGCUUACCAAGGCGACGAUGCAUAGGCGAGUUGAGAGACUGAUCGGCCACAUUGGGACUGAGACACGGCCCAAACUCCUACGGGAGGCAGCAGUAGGGAAUCUUCCACAAUGGACGCAAGUCUGAUGGAGCAACGCCGCGUGAGUGAAGAAGGUUUUCGGAUCGUAAAGCUCUGUUGUUGGUGAAGAAGGAUAUAGGUAGUAACUGGCCUUUAUUUGACGGUAAUCAACCAGAAAGUCACGGCUAACUACGUGCCAGCAGCCGCGGUAAUACGUAGGUGGCAAGCGUUGUCCGGAUUUAUUGGGCGUAAAGCGAGCGCAGGCGGAAAAAUAAGUCUAAUGUGAAAGCCCUCGGCUUAACCGAGGAACUGCAUCGGAAACUGUUUUUCUUGAGUGCAGAA